This 255-nucleotide ribosomal RNA is filed under the name uncultured bacterium. RNAcentral describes it as "partial 16S ribosomal RNA". It matches the Rfam family "Bacterial small subunit ribosomal RNA", at positions 524 to 777 of the family's 1533-position model. The record is from RNAcentral.
UACGAAGGGUGCAAGCGUUACUCGGAAUUACUGGGCGUAAAGGGUGCGUAGGCGGGUCUUUUAAGUCAGGGGUGAAAUCCUGGAGCUCAACUCCAGAACUGCCUUUGAUACUGAGGAUCUUGAGUUCGGGAGAGGUGAGUGGAACUGCGAGUGUAGAGGUGAAAUUCGUAGAUAUUCGCAAGAACACCAGUGGCGAAGGCGGCUCACUGGCCCGAUACUGACGCUGAGGCACGAAAGCGUGGGGAGCAAACAGGG